This 492-nucleotide ribosomal RNA is filed under the name uncultured bacterium. RNAcentral's name for it is "partial 16S ribosomal RNA". It matches the Rfam family "Bacterial small subunit ribosomal RNA", at positions 29 to 507 of the family's 1533-position model. The record is from RNAcentral.
AGUGAACGCUGGCGGUAGGCCUAACACAUGCAAGUCGAACGGCAGCACAGUAAGAGCUUGCUCUUACGGGUGGCGAGUGGCGGACGGGUGAGGAAUACAUCGGAAUCUACUUUUUCGUGGGGGAUAACGUAGGGAAACUUACGCUAAUACCGCAUACGACCUACGGGUGAAAGCAGUGGAUCUUCGGACCUUGCGCGAUUGAAUGAGCCGAUGUCGGAUUAGCUAGUUGGCGGGGUAAAGGCUCACCAAGGCGACGAUCCGUAGCUGGUCUGAGAGGAUGAUCAGCCACACUGGAACUGAGACACGGUCCAGACUCCUACGGGAGGCAGCAGUGGGGAAUAUUGGACAAUGGGCGCAAGCCUGAUCCAGCCAUACCGCGUGAGUGAAGAAGGCCUUCGGGUUGUAAAGCCCUUUUGUUGGGAAAGAAAAGCAGCAGGUUAAUACCCGGCUGUUCUGACGGUACCCAAAGAAUAAGCACCGGCUAACUUCGUG